This 493-nucleotide ribosomal RNA is filed under the name uncultured bacterium. RNAcentral's name for it is "partial 16S ribosomal RNA". It matches the Rfam family "Bacterial small subunit ribosomal RNA", at positions 28 to 507 of the family's 1533-position model. The record is from RNAcentral.
GACGAACGCUGGCGGCGUGCCUAACACAUGCAAGUUGAGCGACGAACCAGGGCUUGCCCUGGGGCAAAGCAGCGAACGGGUGAGUAACACGUGGGUAACCUACCCCGAUAACCGGGACAACCCGAGGAAACUCGGGCUAAUACCGGACGUGCUCACUGGACUUCAGUUCAGUGCGUAAAGGAAGCUUCGGCCUCCGUAUCGGGAGGGGCCCGCGGCCCAUUAGUUUGUUGGUGAGGUAACGGCUCACCAAGACCGCGAUGGGUAGCUGGUCUGAGAGGACGAUCAGCCACACUGGGACUGAGACACGGCCCAGACUCCUACGGGAGGCAGCAGUGGGGAAUCUUGCGCAAUGCGCGAAAGCGUGACGCAGCAACGCCGCGUGGGGGAAGAAGGCCUUCGGGUUGUAAACCCCUUUCAGGAGGGACGAAGGUUCGGCGGUGAAUAGCCGUCCGGACUGACGGUACCUCCACAAGAAGCCCCGGCUAACUACGUG